ACAGGCAACAGAACCCCAUCUGGCACAGCAGCUUGAGACAGGGACUGUCAUGGAGGAACAAGAUCAAGACCUGCUUUAAUUGUGGAGCCCCCAGGGCAGGGUCUGAGAAAUAUAAAGGCAUUCGGCAGAGGGUGGGAGGAGGACAGAGCUGACAACCAGCCCUCCUGGAUCAAGGC
This 176-nucleotide long non-coding RNA is filed under the name Fukomys damarensis (Damara mole-rat). Its description in RNAcentral is "lncRNA (ENSFDAG00000026446.1)". Lineage: Eukaryota; Metazoa; Chordata; Mammalia; Rodentia; Bathyergidae. The record is from RNAcentral.